This 254-nucleotide ribosomal RNA is filed under the name uncultured bacterium. Its description in RNAcentral is "partial 16S ribosomal RNA". It matches the Rfam family "Bacterial small subunit ribosomal RNA", at positions 524 to 776 of the family's 1533-position model. The record is from RNAcentral.
UACGGGGGGAGCAAGCGUUGUUCGGAUUUACUGGGCGUAAAGGGCGCGUAGGCGGCCACUGCAAGUCGGUUGUGAAAUCUCCGGGCUUAACCCGGAAAGGUCAAUCGAUACUGCAGGGCUAGAGUGCAGAAGGGGCAACUGGAAUUCUCGGUGUAGCGGUGAAAUGCGUAGAUAUCUGGAGGAACACCGGUGGCGAAGGCGGCAUCCUGGACCGGUAUUGACGCUGAGGCGCGAAAGCCAGGGGAGCAAACGGG